RNAcentral lists this ribosomal RNA (1235 nucleotides) under metagenome. RNAcentral's name for it is "bacterial LSU rRNA". It matches the Rfam family "Bacterial large subunit ribosomal RNA", at positions 1564 to 2808 of the family's 2925-position model. The record is from RNAcentral.
UGAAUACGAGAUGCUACGGCGUCGAAGCAGUCUAUGUCAUACUUCCAAGAAAAGCUCGCACUGUCAUAAACAAAUAAUGCCUGUACCAUAACCGACACAGGUGGGUAGGUAGAGUAUACUAAGGGGCGCGAGAUAACUCUCUCUAAGGAACUCGGCAAAAUGACUCCGUAACUUCGGGAGAAGGAGUGCCUUAUUUAUAAGGUUGCAAUAACAAGAUCCAAGCAACUGUUUAUCAAAAACACAGGUCUCCGCUAAGUCGUAAGACGAUGUAUGGGGGCUGACGCCUGCCCAGUGCCAGAAGGUUAAAGAAGUUGGUUAGCAUUCGCGAAGCUGAUAACUGAAGCCCUGGUGAACGGCGGCCGUAACUAUAACGGUCCUAAGGUAGCGAAAUUCCUUGUCGGGUAAGUUCCGACCCGCACGAAAGGCGUAAUGAUUUGGAUACUGUCUCGGAGAGGGGCUCGGUGAAAUAGACUUGUCUGUGAAGAUGCGGACUACCUGCACCAGGACAGAAAGACCCUAUGAAGCUUUACUGUAACUUGAGAUUGAAAUUGGACUUUACUUGCGCAGUAUAGGUGGGAGGCGUUGAUAAUAUUCUUGCGGGAUUAUUUGAGCCAUCAGUGAGAUACCACUCUUGUAAUGUUAGAUUUCUAACUUUGUAUCAUUAUCUGGUCAAGGGACAGUUUCAGGCGGGCAGUUUGACUGGGGCGGUCGCCUCCUAAACGGUAACGGAGGCGCACAAAGGUUUCCUCUGAACGGGUAGAAAUCGUAUCUAGAGUGUAAAGGCAUAAGGAAGCUUGACUGUGAGACCUACAAGUCGAGCAGGGACGAAAGUCGGUCUUAGUGAUCUGACGGUGCUGAGUGGAAAGGCCGUCACUCAACGGAUAAAAGUUACUCUAAGGAUAACAGGCUGAUCUCCCCCAAGAGUUCACAUCGACGGGGAGGUUUGGCACCUCGAUGUCGGCUCAUCGCAUCCUGGGGCGGUAGUACGUCCCAAGGGUUGGGCUGUUCGCCCAUGAAAGCGGUACGCGAGCUGGGUUCAGAACGUCGUGAGACAGUUCGGUCCAUAUCCGGUGUAGGCGUUAGAAUAUUGAGAGGAGCCUUCUUUAGUACGAGAGGACCGAGAAGGACAUACCUCUGGUGUACCAGUUAUCGUGCCAACGGUAAACGCUGGGUAGCUAUGUAUGGAGUGGAUAACCGCUGAAAGCAUCUAAGUGGGAAGCCCACCUCAAGAUAAG